Dicentrarchus labrax (European seabass) is the source of this 10573-nucleotide long non-coding RNA. RefSeq lists it as uncharacterized. The transcript has 2 exons. Lineage: Eukaryota; Metazoa; Chordata; Actinopteri; Moronidae. The record is from RefSeq and is a predicted model, not a curated record.
UGGAGGUGGAGCAAAGCAACGCUUGGAGCACAGUUUGAGCUUGGACUUGUGCUCAGAGGAUUUUGCAGACAACGUGUACGUACGCUGUGACUCGUGUUGUCUUUGUGCUUCACUCUGUGACUUUUGGAUCUCUUCAGUUUGAGCGUGUAGAGGCAUCACCUUUUUUAAUUUUUUUUUCUGUUUUCUUUAACUCUCUCUACUCAAAGACGUGUGUGAGUUUGAGAGCAAUUUCUGCUUCAGUAAAGUUUCAGAGGGGGAAAAGAAGCACAUUUUCGCCAGCAAAUCGCUUGAGGACAAGUCAGGGAAGGAAGACAUGGCGAGCGGGGAAGAAGACAGAGCGACACUGACACAGACUGGAAGAAGCGACAGAGGGGCGAGCUAAGAGAAAGCUGAGAGUCAGGCUUAAAGCAAGGCAAAGCAGGGGGAAAAAAUGGAGGAAAACAAAGAUGAAAGGCUAAUUUUAGGAGUGUUGGAAGAGUGUGAGAGGAUUUGUUCUCCUCAGUCUUGUUUACAGGAAGUUCUUUUAAAGUUCCACAGAUGGCUGCAUUCACAGAAAGGCUUUUAUUGCAUUUUUCCGUACCCCAUAAACUCCCUAUACCUUCAUUUAUGUGUGGGAAAGUAUGAUUGCUGCUGCUGCUUGGCUCAAGGUUGGUCUCAUCUUGAGUUUUUUGUUGAAGUGGAUUGCUCGCUUGCUGCAUGUUGGCUGCAAGAGUCAUUACUUUCUCUAGAAUUAACGUUAGUGUCUGGAUCUGUCUGUGUGUGUGUGAGAGAGAGAGCGCGACAGAGGCAUUCAUACACUUUACUGUACGCGUUUUUUUUUUUUUUAACCAGUAUUUUAAGGUCAGUGCUUCAAACAAGUAAAAGAAGAAAUAAUUUCUUCUUCUCUAACGCCCUGUAACACUUACAGCAAAUACACAACCACUAAAGACUUCAAACAAAUCCAUAUUUGAGCUUUAGUUCAUGAAAAUAAUUUUGCACACAGCUGUGUGAUGUAAUUGUGUAUGUCUGACAUGUCCAAAUAUUUUUAAACACAUGUCAAGCCUGUAUUAAAUCAAGCAUGUGACAUACUUGGGUAAUAUAUAAAACAAUCCUAACUCUAACCCUGUAAACUAAAUUAUUGAUGUAAAUAUAAUAAAAUGACUAAAACAUGUCACUUUGGUCAUUUUUAGUUAUUAUCAUUACAACCAAAACAAUUAAUUAAUAGGUGAUCGAUUAUUGUCAAGAUUCUUUCUAAUAUAUAAUAUAAUAUAAUAUUUUUAAGUCCUUCAUCAGGGACACACAGGUUCCUUUAUAGCACUGUAUAUUGAAUAUUUUAAUCCUUUGCACUGUUGGCCAGUGAAAACAUGCCAUUAGACACUAAGUCACAUUAAGCUUGCUGAACUUUGGAUAUUUUUCCUCUAUUUUGCAUGUGAAUUAAAUAAAUAUUUGAUUAUAAAAACACAAUAUAGAUGGAUCAAUUAUAAAAAUAAUCAUUGGUUGCGCCUCUAAUUAGCAUGCAAUAUCAUUGUACUCUAUAUAUAAGAGGUCUAAAGCCAUGUUGUUUAGUAUUUUCUCUGCUUAUUUUCUCUUCUGCUGAUGUAUAGGGCUUCAUAGUUAAAGGGUCUGUUUGGUCUCAAGCACCCAAAGCAUUCAUUUGUUCUUGCAGUCCAGGCCUCAUCCAAGACUAUGAGUCCACAGAGGGCCCUUUAAAAAGCUGCAAAGGCUUACCGGUACCAUGUUGAGAGGUAAAUAAAGUUAAGGGCUCCUUAAGGGCUGGUUUGCCUCCAGAUUCGCUGGGACGUGGGUCUGUAAGAGAUUUAGUGGGCAAGGAGUUUCUGCAGAAGUGAUUUGGCUCCAGUGGCCAAACCUCAACCAAAUUAUUUUUGUUGAUUUAUUUCACAGGAAAAUGUAAACCAUCCUAAGGUUUGUAAUUAGGCUUAUUUUUAGGCUUUUUCAUUUAGUUUUACACAUAUGUUGACUUUAUCUGGAAAAAUAUAUAAGUUUUAUGUUUGGAAGUUAGGAGGCCGAAAAGCUUCAAGUACCAGCGGAGCUGUUAAACAUGCAUUUCAUUAUGAAAUCAUUAUGUUCCAUUUGGAGUAUAAAUAUCAUGAGAAAGUCUCUCAACUUUUGAUUUAAAUUACUAAUAAUAAGCACGGGGAAGAAAAAAAACCAUUUGUCCUUACAAAACAGAGAAGAUCAAAGAGCAUUUCUGAGCAGUUUAUUCUAUUGAAAUACUCAGUAAUCGCCACAAAAUUAUUGUUUUGUCAAAGAUUGUCAUAUGGUUCAUAUUGAGUGAAAAUGUACAAACUUCUGGGAGAGACAGGACGUAGUAUUAUUCAUGGGCUUCACUGUGAUGACUGAACUGAACUAUGGACAGUCUGUGCCAUGUUACUGUACAUGCACUGUGCUGUUGUUUACAGCAGUGAUUCCCAACCAGAGGUACUUGUGCAGUUGCCAGGUGGCACGUGGAAAGAUUGUGAAGUAGUUCAGUUAAUUUGAUGAAACAGAAAUUAUGAUAUAAUAAUAAAUAAAAUAUAUCCACAUAUUGAGUCAGUUAUAACACUUGAACACAGAGUUGUUUUCAAGAUUGCAUGAAAACGAAGUAGCAGAGAGGUCCCAACUGUCGGUUAAAAGUAACUGACAAACAGAAAAAUUAGAUAAAAGUAAUGUCUAAUGUCUAGUUGAAAUAGCUGAAAUGGUUGGAACAUAGUGGGUGGGGUCAAUUAAGGGGUGCUCUUCUGACAGGGUUGUGGGAAUACAUCAGACAAAGGUUGUGAAGCACUAACCGACAGGACAUGUUUUACCAGAAGAGAAGAAGCACACAAGAGAAGUCUGUUAAAAUUAGGGUCGCUUGCUGCCAUUGUGGCGACGGCUGAUAUGCACAGAAUGGCGAAUAUAAAUUCUUUGCUUAAUUUUACUAGAAAAGUCCUGGAUAGUCCUGUGCAUGCUGAUUAUUACAGGUUUUAGAAAUCAGCCGUGGAAGAGUAGCUAUAGGCUAUCUGGCGUUAAAUCUCUCCUUCUCUGAAGCUCCUCUGUUCAUAUCUGUGUAAAGUUCUCACUGUCUGCUCAUACGUCAUGUCUCCUCACUGUGACUUCCCUCUAUUCCCUCUUCCUGUGUCUGCCUCUCUCUCUGUACUGGCCACUCUCCCUCCUUCCUGUCAUUCUGUCCCCUCUUCACGCCAUGGGCACAAAGCCAAGUUUAAUUCAGCUCGGGAAACCCUCUCAUAGGUUCACGCAAAUGCAGUGCCUCCUUUGUCCAUACUGGCGUGGACAAUGUGGCGCCACCAUAUGAGCCACUUGAAGCUCUUGAGUGAAGUCAUCUUAACAUGUUGACAAGAGAUCAGCUUACCAAGUCCUGAUCCAAACCUAUGAGCAUUAUGAGCAAAGAGGCAAAACUGAUCCAGGCAUCCAGUAGCUGCAGUUUUUUUCAUUGCAGGUUACCAAAUGCCGCAGGUCAAACUAGGAUAAGCCAACCAUGUGCAAGCCCCAGACAGACCCUGACCAAUCAUGUGUACCCUUGGCCUGGUCCCAAAAAAAGUGUCUAGCCAAAAUACAGCACAGCUGAGGCUGUUAAAAUCACGGGAUAAUCACAAGAGAAGGGCCCUAGCUGUUAGCUCUCCACAGAGUGAUAAGGUAAGCUGAGGAGGAGCAGUGCCUGUUUGGCAGUCGGCAAGGGCUCCCAUACAUGAAACAAUCUAUGUGCUGACUGAGUGUGAGGUAACGCAUUCCUAAAUUGAGAUGGCAUCUGCUGGUGUUUGGGUGCCUCGGAAAUGGAUGCGCUUUAAGGCCAGCCAUCGCAGCACACUUUGUUACAAACGUACCUUUUCUACCUGAUAAAAGCGUGGCAGGAGAAGGCAAUUUUCUGCAAACUAUAACUAUAACUGUAAGAACAUGCCAGUACUUGCAGAUAUAGGGAGCAGGCGAGCUUCAGGUGCUGUUGCAAUCUCCAUGUAAUUGAGGCACUUAAGUGAGAAACGUACGGUACAGAGACUGCUGGUGACUGCUAUGAAUUUCCGUAGCUUGUCAAAAAAAAAUGCUCCUAAUUGUCACGAGAUGCCUCCCUUAAAGCUCUAAAGGCUGAUGAAUGACUUGUUAACCGAGCAGUUUUUACUCUUGAUUACACAAAAUUCUGGAGCCCUCAUUACAAUUUGACAACAUCUGUCGUGAGGUGGAGGUUGUAAGACUCUAAUAAAGGCUCAUUAGUCUAUUCUUACAUCUUCCAUAUCUUGUCAUGUGCUGCAAUGGACAGAGAUUGCCUCAGUCUUAGCAUUAAGAAUUAACGACGGAAAAUGAGAGAAAACCGAAAGAAGAAAAGUGUGUGGAGUGAGUGGAGGGCAUUAGUCAUGUACAUACUUCCUGCUGUUAUUGAGUAGCUCAGGCGGUCUGGAGCUUGGCCAGGCCAAUUGUUGCUCAUUUAGCUGUCAGACAGCCAUAGCCGAGAGGCAUGCAGCUUCAGGCGAGGAGUGAACAUUUUUGCAGUUUCAUACUGGUUGAAAUGUAAGACACUGUCACGUGAAUGUGUUCUUGUGACAUGUGAUCGACACUUUGAGGUUAAAAUCAGUAUAUAUAAUUUGGAUUAUUUUUUCUAGCUUUAAAUUGCUCUGUCUCACUUUAGGUGUGUCUGUUUUGGUUUGUUGGUGUUCAGAAAACACUGCAGACGGUAGUACAGGCUCAACAAGCCCGUGUGUGCAGGUUUGUCACACUUGCCAGCAUUUAUGUGGCACAGUGGUACUGCGUUAGUGCACAUCACUAUCCAAAAAUACCACUCUAGGCUGGCGAUUAACAGAGAGAGUGUGAGGGAGAUGGAAACAUUGAUUGAGACAGGCAGACAGCAUCGAGCUAUUACGUUACUGUGACUGGGUGUCAAAGUCGAGCCCAGUAACAGACUAGCUUGAGGCUAUUAUUGUCAGACAGCUGUGAAUCCAGAUAAACGUGACAGAGAACAAGAAAAGUUUGCGAUAGAGUAGAACUUUUGCAGCUCUGAAAACGUUGACGUUAAUAACAAGUUGGUUAUUACUUAUUUCCACCAAAUUAAGCAAACAACCUUUUUCUAAACGUUCCAUUUAGUGUAGUAGAGCCUUUCCAGGGAGCCAAGCUGUAUGGCACCGAACCUUAAUUAGUAUCAUUGGUAUAACACCUGUGUUUACCCUACUAUUUCCUGCCAAAAUGGCUGCUGUGAAAAAAACUAUGAAACCUGUGUUAACAGAUUUUAUGGCCACUUGGGGGCAGUGGAAACAAGCUGUAAACACAAUGCUGACAUAUUACCACAUCCAUUAAGUUGAUACGGUGAACUUGUUAGCCAACAGUUGCCUUUACACACUUACACAUCCAGGAAAAAUAUUCAUUUAGAGGCAUUUUUCUGACCACCUGAAGUCUAAUAUUCACCCUCCCUUUUAGCUCUGUUUGGUCUCCACCAACUCCUGAAGGAAAUAUCUGGCCCUGUAUGUUCACCAGUUAGUCGCUAACUUGGUGUUCAGUGGGUUUUUAGGCCAUUUUUUUCUGAAAAUAGCUGCCAGCUUCAUAGACGGUGUUCUUUCUGCUAUUCAGUUUCUUUAAAGAAAUGUCUAUUUUGUUGCUAAGGUUUGGCACAUUUGUCAGUUUGACUGCAGAUUUAAAAUUCUGUGUUGUGGAUACAUUUCACAUAAAUGAUGACAACUCGGGGCUAUUCAGAGCACCAGCAGUAAAUGCUGAGCUUUCAGUAGACAUUUCCCAAACACCUAACAGUGCCACCCACCUUUGCUCUCCACAAGCAAACUGAUUCAAGUGUUUGAAUCUCAAUUAGCAAUUCUGAAUGUUACAGCUGCAGAAAUAUACAACAUGAGAAUAUCAGUGUCAGAGGGAGAGGAAGGCUGCUGUUUACUCUGGAUUGGUCACUCUACUCAUAUUUUCUGUUUUAGUUUGGGUGUUGAGACGAAUAUUUGCAAAGGCCAUGUGCAUGCCUUUUCUCCUGUUUCUGGGAUGCAAAAUGAGGCAGCAGGAAACGCUGUUCCCCAGUAGUCAAAUCACAUUUUCCCCGCCUCCUCUUGUCCUCUCCUACCUGAAAGAGGAGGCGGUGGUUGUUAUUUUACUUCGAACCAUCAAGCAACAAAGACAAUCUAUGUCAAAGCUUGUUUAAAAGGACAAAGACUUGCGUGCUUAAAUGUGCAUAAUCAUUUGAAUGUCAUACGGAAUAAUGGAGGCCUUUUGCCUAAUUGAUGUUGUUGCUGUGUAGCUUCUCUUCUAUGGUACUUUUUUCUUUUUUCCUCCUGUCUUUACCAGCUCACUCAAGUGCUUCGUGACAGGCCAUUCGUGACCACAUGUAGCUUUAUUCUGUGCUGUGCAAUAAAAAGGGAAAAAUCUCCACUCUGAAAUGUAGCUGAAGAUUAUAUAUAUUAGAUAGAUAUAUAUUAAAUACAAAAAAUAGAUUAGAAAGACUUUUAUACAGACAAACUGCUUCACAUUUAAUAAUUCAGUGGUUUCCUACCUAGAGGUCCAGACCCACACAUGAUUUGUUUAGGCUUUUCCUCUUAUUUUUGUUUUAUUUACUGGAUCAUUUUACUUUUAAACAUUAGUCAAAUACAACUCCCAAAAAAAUAUCACUCUUUGGUUGCUCUCAUCACAACCUUAAUGGUUCAAAUGCAACCUGUGACGAGACAUUGCUUUGUUUUAAAGGGGUCGCGUAAUAAAUGUAUGCGACCACUGAAGUUCUCAAUCGUGAGUUUCAUAAUAAAAAUUACUUUUUAAUGACUAGAAAAAGAGAAUUCUGGAAAUGGUAAUUAAUGCUAGAAAGCUGGAACUGUCGUUCCAAGAAAAACCUUUUGCACCUGUUGUUUGUCUUAAUAGACAAGGACUUGAAAAAACACGUAAAGAGGAAGUUGGGGAGGUUGGAUGGAUCAGCAAAGUGUGUUGCUCUGACAAAGCCUACACAGCUCCGCAACAGAUGUAGACUGUGCAUUAGCUUCAUCGAUCACUCACGCACUAACACUCACUGACACGCCAACGAUUAACGACAGCUUCUAGGUUUAAAAUACCGUUCUGUUUGUCCAGGUGUCCAAUGUCCAGGUUUUCCAAUGAAAGAAAACUCUGCCAACUCUCCUUACAAAGCAUUUGAGAUUUGUGUGCAUGUGUUAACAUUUAAAAGUGUGUGUGUGUGUGUGUAUUGCCAAUAAUUACAUAGUGAUGAGGGAGUAAAUGUGCUCUGCCACGCUGAUGUGUGCUCAGAUAGCCACCUGCGAUCUGCUCUCUUUCUCUCUCUGUCCUCACCUGCAACCUUCUCUCACCACAACAUGCAUCUUUUUUCUUCUCACUUACGAUAUUUCUGCUCGUCAUUCUCUCACUGCCCUCCUCCCUUCCUCCCUCCCUCUACUCCUCCUCCUCCUCCUUGUCUCCGUCUUCCCAAACAGGAUACCGAAUGGUUGGUUUAGCUGGAGGGAUUCCUGGCAGAGUGAUUUGGUUGUGAUGUAAUAUAAAUCACAUUGCCAGGGAUUUCCAACCAGCUACAGCUGAAAACCCACACCAGCCUCCAAACACCUGACAACUGCUCGGCAAACACCCACGUUGGCAGAAGUCACCGCUCUAAAGCCCUUGUAGCAUAAAGUCCGAUUUAUAAUCUCCUCGUGUUUUAAAGAGAGUUAGAUGGGAAGAUCACUAAGCACUCUCAAGCUCAGCGACUAGACUCUAAGUCUCACAAAUAAGCCUGUUAGGUUAUGUAUAUCUUUUGGUCUAUUUCUUGGCCAGGUGCAGUAAGUUACUGAAGUCUUCGCUGGUUACAAUUAGCUUCACAGUGAUGACUGUGUUGGUAGGUGGAUUUUUUUUUUACAGAACCAGGAUGGCGGUUUCCCUCGGUUUCCGGUCUUGCUAAGCUAAGCUAAGCUAACUGGCUGCUCACAGUGGUUUCAUACCUACCAUGUGAACACUGCAAGAGUGGUAUCAAUCUUCUCGUCUAACUCUCGGCAAGAAAAACCAAAUAAGCGUAUUUCCCAAAAUAUUGAACUAUUACUUAAUUGAAAUUACUAAUACUUAUGUCUUCAUUACAUGUUUUGUCCAGAGUUUGCUAGAGGAGCAGGACUUAGCUCGCUCCGUGAACAGUUCAGUGAAAGCCUGUGUUCACAGUGGCUAAGUUCCGCUCCUCACAAGCCUUUCCAGCUUUCAACGCCCACCGUUACAACAGCUCUAACAGUGAAGUCAACAUGGAAUCCAAGGGUUUUAUGAAAUGAUGUGCUACGUCCCACUAUACAGAAUUGUAAGGGGCUUUAUUUCAAGGAGAUGAACAUAGUAAUAUUGGUGGGUUUUUUGGUUUAUCUUCCUGCUCUCAAUAAUGAGGAUGUCUCGCUCUAUACCUGCUGUAGCCUACAAUAGAGAUACUGGUUGUGUAACUGACACACAAUGUUUCCUAGUAAACAAUUAUGGGUAUGGUAAUAAGCAUUAUAAGUACACAAUAGGCUCAAAGGCCUUUAGCAAUGGAUUUUCUUCUCCAACCAACUGUUUUAAGACGGGAAUCCUGAGAAAAAAGCUACAGGAGAAGAGGGCAGAAGGCAGGGAAGGAGAGCUUACUCAUACAGGAAGGAAGUACAGGAAAUGUCCCAUCGGGAAAGCAAGUAGCAAUGUAAUUGUGAUUCCUGAGCUCAUUUACUGUCUGGGUGGUCAUGAAAGCAAAGCACUGAUUGUGUGUGUAUCUACAUGUGUGUGUACUACGUGUAAACAUGCAGUUGCCUGAUGUAUGUAGGGAAACAUUUUUUUUGUAAAUGGUGCUUGCCCACACAGUGCUGCUAACAUUAUCCUUUGUGUGUCAGACUGUUGUGCACUAUAUAGAGGUGGUGACAUACUUUAUUUAUGUUUCUGACAUUUUAUUACCUUUUUGUUUUUAAUGUUUAUACUUAUUUUAUUUUCUUCCCUUCACCAUUUUAUUUGCAACUUAUUUCUGCAUUUAUUUUAUGUCCUCAUUUUGUCAUUGUUUAUAUGCUGUUUGUUGUAUUACUAUCCUUUCAUAAUUUAAUCCUGUGAAGAACUUUCUUAAAUUGAUGUUUUUAAAAGUGCACUACAAAAACUAUUAUUAUAUUCAAAGGUAUCAUGCAAUGAUAACAAUGCUACUGAAAUUGAGUGAAAUGUGUGUAAUUCCAAUGGCAGAAAUAAGGGAAAAUGUAUAAAAUGUAUGGAUUAAAUAGUCUGUUCCCCUAUAUUACAAGAAAUAUAGUGGUACAGUAGCUAUUGUGGGAUCCAGCUUGAAGAUAACCUUGGUUUAAUUUACACAUAGAUAUGGAGAUAGCUUCUCUCCACCCCAAUGUAAUGUAAGUGAAUGGAAUUUCGUACGAUGCUCACAAAAUUGAAAAUAUAAUAAUUUACAGAUGAAUUGCUCUCUAAGGAAGAAAAGUAGAAAAAAAAACUGUUGACCUGGUGGUAUGUGGUCAUGGUCAUUUUUUUCUGAACAGAGAUGUUGCUGUUGAAUUGCUUAAAUGUAAUUUCUCAAUGUAGUAGAGGAGGAAAUUUCAGUAAUGUCUCAAAACCUGGACUCAAAAAACCUAUGGCUUGAUAGCACUAUAGACAUAAAUGAGAAAACUACUAAAUAUGUAUUUGUUGUAUUUACCAUACUAAAUUGUAGGAUAAUAAAAAAAAAAGAUGAAUACAUUUGAGGGAUAUACUCUGUUGAAGUAAUAGAGACUUUGUCCUAAAGUGUCCCGAGUCCCGACUACCUGUUGCAGUAUACCUGUUGUUUGCUGCCCCUUGUGGUGAAAGUGAGGUGGUGCAGGUGCCUGGGCUCAACCUCCUGUGCCUACUGAGCUGAUAACAGUUAGAUCUUAAACAAACACUGGCUCAGUUCAGCAGGAACCGGAGUUAGGCCCUCUAGAAACAGCAUCGGAAUUCGGCUCACCUGGCGCACGCAACAAUCAAGAUGAUAUAUUAGGUACAUUAAUGAUUUGUAGAUCAGUGUUUGCCAUAAUGCUGUAAAUGUAUGUCUGAACUUUUGCAUACGGAGCAGAAUAGCUGGCAUGAAAAUGUUUUUUCCUACUUACUUUUUAACUGCUCUAAAAGGCCAUUUCUUUUUUCCACAAAGCCUCAUCAAGGCCAUUCUCCAAGUACCAGAGCGUAAUCGUCUGUUAAUCAGAGCUGAGGAAGCACAGAACGCACAUAAAUGAAGCCACACAUCCUCUCGGAAUUUAAACCUCUCACUGUAAAGCUCAUGAUGGAGGAAAUCUGCUUCUGUUGGUUUGGUAUUACUAGAAGAUCACAGGAGCAGAGUUUUUCCAGUUGUACUCUCUUCGCACUGCACAAACCUUCCAAGAAGACUCCUCUGGGUGUCAUUAAGUCAUAUGGUGUCUUUCAGUAAUUGUUUGAUAUGCCUUCAUUCAGUUUCUUUUACCAGACUUCUGCUUGAACACGCUUAUUAACUGUGAAUAUUAACUGAUGGUAGAGAAAAGUGAGACAUUGGUUGUUGCAGAUGAGUUAUGUUUAUAAAUAAGUUCUUAAGUACAGUUUCUAACAAGUUAUUUUACAUUUUUUCUAUUCAAUGGUGAAUGGUUUUAUUCUUCCAAUGUCUGUAUUUAUGUGUGUAUUUAUGUUGGUUGCCUUAUUUCUGUUGUGAAGUAAAAUAAAUAAAUAAAGUUACUUACAAUAUAAA